GCAUGUAUAGGGCACACAGACUUUUCAUCUGGGUCAUAUGUGUCAACCACUCAUUCUACCCAAUCAUCACUUAAAUAACAUAAAACAUAAAAUGAAUUAACUCGAAUAAAACUGAUAUGAUAUUCAUCUCAAAGAUUGGAAAGUACAUCAUAAUCAAAAUUAAUAAAAAUAACAAAAACAUCAAAACUAAAUUUAAAAUAAACGAAAAUAAAGAGAAAC
RNAcentral lists this long non-coding RNA (219 nucleotides) under Lathyrus oleraceus (garden pea). RNAcentral's name for it is "Pisum sativum (pea) long non-coding RNA (PSAT_LNC026322)". The record is from RNAcentral. Lineage: Eukaryota; Viridiplantae; Streptophyta; Magnoliopsida; Fabales; Fabaceae.